RNAcentral lists this ribosomal RNA (500 nucleotides) under uncultured bacterium. Its description in RNAcentral is "partial 16S ribosomal RNA". It matches the Rfam family "Bacterial small subunit ribosomal RNA", at positions 29 to 523 of the family's 1533-position model. The record is from RNAcentral.
AUUGAACGCUGGCGGAAUGCUUUACACAUGCAAGUCGAACGGCAGCACGGGGGCAACCCUGGUGGCGAGUGGCGAACGGGUGAGUAAUACAUCGGAACGUGCCCAGUCGUGGGGGAUAACGUAGCGAAAGUUACGCUAAUACCGCAUACGAUCUACGGACGAAAGCGGGGGACCGUAAGGCCUCGCGCGAUUGGAGCGGCCGAUGUCAGAUUAGGUAGUUGGUGAGGUAAAGGCUCACCAAGCCGACGAUCUGUAGCUGGUCUGAGAGGACGACCAGCCACAGUGGGACGGGGACACGGCCCAGCCUCCUCGGGGGGGCAGCAGUGGGGAAUUUUGGACAAGGGGCGCAAGCCUGAUCCAGCCAUUCCGCGUGCAGGACGAAGGCCUUGGGGUUGUAAACUGCUUUUGUACGGAACGAAAAGGCUCUGGUUAAUACCUGGGGCUCAUGACGGUACCGUAAGAAUAAGCACCGGCUAACUACGUGCCAGCAGCCGCGGUAG